GCUCCGAAGUGUUUAUCAUGUCAGAUUGCAAAUCUGAAGAAGCAGAUCAACCGUCUGCCGGGGUUU
Molecule: transfer RNA, 66 nt
Filed under: Chionodraco hamatus (Antarctic icefish)
Lineage: Eukaryota; Metazoa; Chordata; Actinopteri; Perciformes; Channichthyidae
Description: tRNA-Cys
Source: RNAcentral